CACCUGAAGGUAUUACUGUAU
RNAcentral lists this unclassified non-coding RNA (21 nucleotides) under Dictyostelium discoideum. Lineage: Eukaryota; Evosea; Eumycetozoa; Dictyosteliales; Dictyosteliaceae. The record is from RNAcentral.